Molecule: long non-coding RNA, 1752 nt
Filed under: Numida meleagris (helmeted guineafowl)
Lineage: Eukaryota; Metazoa; Chordata; Aves; Galliformes; Numididae
Description: lncRNA (ENSNMEG00000019193.1)
Source: RNAcentral
AUUUGCACAUGUGUAGUCAGUUAAAUGGUUAUGUGUACAUAAACAUGCAUGCGUGUGUUUCAACUUUCCAGUGAGUUCAGUAAGGUUCCAAUUAGUAAGUUCAGUUUAGACAUGUGUAUGUUGCUAAUUGUUCAGAGAUAAUGAAUUGGCAGGAAGGGCACAUCAAUAUCUCUGCUAUGAUUAAAUCAGUGACAUUAACUCAAAUUGUAAAGGCAGGUAAUGUUUGGUUUCUUAAGAUACUUUUUUCCUGGUGUAUUAUUCAAUGCCUACUGCUGUCUUUGACCAAGUUAUAACAAAGACCAAGAUUCACAGCACUUCUUCAGAAAGAAGGAUACAAUUUUUUGUUACUUGGAGAUCUGAGCAUCAGCUGGCUCACUUGUUUAAAUUAUCCCAAGAUGAAGACUGCAACCUGCCAUAAAAUACAUCUUCACUGAUUUUAAGGAAACUGAGAGUGGGCCACUCAAUAAGGAAAUCUCUCAAAAAAAUAUACUAAAACAUUUGACUUAAUAUAAUCAGAAGAUAAAUAGCCCUCAAAAGUAUUUUUUUUUUCCACAAUACACAUACACCAGGGAAAGUAAAGACAUAUGUAUUUAAGAGGAAGGGAUCCUGACAAUGCACGGAUAAUCAAGGAAGAGAUUAUUUUGAGAAAACAGCAUGUAACACAAUUAAAAGCCCUUGAGAAACAAGACAUCAGGUCUCUGCUUGCCAUUUGUGAAUGAGGAAGACAUGCUGCAGUCCUAAUGAGUCUGAUCCAGACAAGAGAUUAAAUAACUUGCUUUCUUACCUCAGGCUGGGAAAACUGUAAAGGCCAGAACAUGUUUAUGACAUAUUGGAUUUGUGUUGUCAUAAACAGAUGGUAACCUGCGGCACUAGGAAAAAAGGUCAAGUGCAAACCAAGCUGCUGCCUCAUCCAAAGCAAAGGCAACGCAGAGGGGCAAAUUUUGCCCACAAAGGAUUUAGUGAGAGCGGCUGCUGUAUCUCAGGGGUGGGGAAGAGAUCCCAGCUUACCUGCCUCCACCUUUCUGUCUUGCAAGACAACACCAGUAUUUUCAUUUUUCUCUUUUUGUGGCACUGUUCCAUGCUUGUUAUUAUAUUUCUCCUCAGAGCUUACUGCGAUUGAAAUUCCUACUCAGUGUAUUUUCUGCCAAAUUCUAACAUGUUUACUUAAAGAAAAACAUUUAAAUUGCUUCCAUGGGUAAGUAUCCUCCCACUCUUAGCACAACAAUUUUAAUGAUUUACUUUUCUACUAACAUCCUUUUCCCCUUUAUUACUCAGGUAAAUGUCAAGCAGCAGUCCUGGCCUGCAUACAGCAGAUAACGCAUGUUGACUCUGCUUGUAAUGAACUAAUGAUGUAUCUUUGGUGAAAAACCAUUUUCUGAAUAUUCAUUUCCUCAGAAGGAUUGGAUUUUUUCUGCUGAUUUCAGUAAUCUUUGUUUUCAUCCACCAACCACAGUUAUAAUCUACUAAGUGUGACAUCCUGAAGCAAGGGUUUGACCAACUCUAACAGAGUUUGGCAGCACUCAAUUGACUGAAAGAAACUUUGGGAGAUAACACAAUAUGAAAUAACAUUUGAGAUGUUAGUAAGUUAGGACCAUAACACGGCUGUUUCCAGUGGAUAAAAAAUGGCACAUAUAUGUAACUAUAGAAAGAAAUGAGGCUUAGGAAGGAGGGAGAGCUUAACAAGUGAUAAUUAACUUAGUCAACAAUAUAGCAAAUAGAACUGUAAUUUAGUAACAGAUCUGAAGUGGAGAA